This 497-nucleotide ribosomal RNA is filed under the name uncultured bacterium. RNAcentral's name for it is "partial 16S ribosomal RNA". It matches the Rfam family "Bacterial small subunit ribosomal RNA", at positions 28 to 507 of the family's 1533-position model. The record is from RNAcentral.
GAUGAACGCUGGCGGCGUGCCUAAUACAUGCAAGUCGAGCGAACGGACGAGAAGCUUGCUUCUCUGAUGUUAGCGGCGGACGGGUGAGUAACACGUGGAUAACCUACCUAUAAGACUGGGAUAACUUCGGGAAACCGGAGCUAAUACCGGAUAAUAUUUUGAACCGCAUGGUUCAAAAGUGAAAGACGGUCUUGCUGUCACUUAUAGAUGGAUCCGCGCUGCAUUAGCUAGUUGGUAAGGUAACGGCUUACCAAGGCAACGAUGCAUAGCCGACCUGAGAGGGUGAUCGGCCACACUGGAACUGAGACACGGUCCAGACUCCUACGGGAGGAAGCAGUAGGGAAUCUUCCACAAUGGGCGAAAGCCUGACGGAGCAACGCCGCGUGAGUGAUGAAGGUCUUCGGAUCGUAAAACUCUGUUAUUAGGGAAGAACAUAUGUGUAAGUAACUGUGCACAUCUUGACGGUACCUAAUCAGAAAGCCACGGCUAACUACGUG